AUGAUUGACUUGACUUUAUUUUGUUCCACCAGCCCGCGGUGCCCGGCAGGGGGCGUCGUGUCCAGGUAUCCGCUCUGCUUCGCUUCCGCUCCCGGAGGACGAGACGGACAGCCUAAUGAUUCAUUGAUUAAGGCAACGAACCAAUCACCUCCCGUCACCCGGCUCCCCUCCCCCCAAUCAACACCGUCUCUCACCGGCUUCCCAAGGGCGCUGAGGAGGGGGUGCAGUCCUCUGAACCCCAGGACUACGACUCCUCUGAACCUCCGAAUCCUCCAACAAGUCGACGACCGCCGAAUCACCGGCAGCACUGCCGGCCUCUGACGUCACGGUGAUGCAGAUGCUCUGGAAACGAGGACGCACAUGUCUCCCCUCAAGUCCGCAUCUCCUCACUGUCGUUACUUCAAAGUUGACAACAUAUAUAUGCGCAGAAAGCAGCCUGCUCGGGGUGUGAUGGCGGCGGACCGCCACCAGGGGUGAGAUAAAAAUAUUAAAAAUACAUCGGAAGCACAAGCAGGUGUAGUUGUGCAGCCAGAGACGCAGAGAGAGAGAGAGAGAGAGAGAGAGAGAGAGAGAGAGAGAGAGAGAGAGAGAGAGAGAGAGAGAGAGAGAGAGAGAGAGAGAGAGAGAGAGAGAGAGAGAGAGAGAGAGAGAGAGAGGAGAGAGAGAGAGAGAGAGAGAGAGAGAGAGAGAGAGAGAGAGAGAGAGAGAGAGAGAGAGAGAGAGAGAGAGAGAGAGAGAGAGAGAGAGAGAGAGAGAGAGAGAGAGAGAGAGAGAGAGAGAGAGAGAGAGAGGAAUCGAUGGAGAGAUGAGGCAGAAGGAUGUUUAAUUCAGCAGCGAGUGUCGCUCCCUCCAUGUCUCCUGGACCACAGUCCUACUGACCACAACACGUCCCAGUUACCCGGAUACGGACCCGCGAUGUGGUCGUGAGGACACGACGCAGUGAGACCCUGCGUCCGAGGAGCCGUCAGCCGUCAGCGGGACCGAGGAGCAGAGACCAACAUGCAGGAGGAUAUCUGACGCUCGGAGCCUCCACGGUGGGCUCCUGUAUUCCUCCAUUCUUCUCCUCGCAUUUUGAUUUAAAUAUUCAUUCGGGAGGCUUCGUGGAUUACCGCCAUGGACGCGCGGAGCAGCGAGGAGCGAUCCCUCCGCUGACGGGCAGCGAUGCGUCUGGAGCUCCAGAGGUGAUCACCGCCGCCACCACAGCGCCUUCCGCCCGCCGUGCCGCUGCCCAUGGGGUUAAAACCCGUCGCUACAGCGGGCCUGUGGCUGAUCUCUCGAUAAGAAACGGAGAAGGGUGUUGUCAGAGAGCGAGGAAGAGCGAGGGAGAGAGAGGGGGGACGAGAGGAGGAGGAGGAGGAGGAGGAGGGUGCACUACGAGGUGUUCUGUUUUUUUGGAGCGCGGGAGACAGACGGCCACGGAGAAGGUGUACUGACGUGAGGGGAGAAUGAGCGCGAGGAGGAGCCGCCAGAGGACCCCCCGUCGCGAGUGGACGCCGUGAGAAGAUCAGGAGGCUGGAUGGACGUCAGA
This 1528-nucleotide long non-coding RNA is filed under the name Gadus morhua (Atlantic cod). Its description in RNAcentral is "lncRNA (ENSGMOG00000023598.1)". Lineage: Eukaryota; Metazoa; Chordata; Actinopteri; Gadiformes; Gadidae. The record is from RNAcentral.